This 268-nucleotide ribosomal RNA is filed under the name uncultured Rhodobacterales bacterium. Its description in RNAcentral is "partial 16S ribosomal RNA". It matches the Rfam family "Bacterial small subunit ribosomal RNA", at positions 505 to 772 of the family's 1533-position model. The record is from RNAcentral. Lineage: Bacteria; Pseudomonadati; Pseudomonadota; Alphaproteobacteria; Rhodobacterales.
GUGCCAGCCGCCGCGGUAAUACGGAGGGGGCUAGCGUUGUUCGGAAUUACUGGGCGUAAAGCGCACGUAGGCGGAUCAGAAGGUUGGGGGUGAAAUCCCGGGGCUCAACCUCGGAACUGCCUUCAAAACUAUUGGUCUUGAGUUCGAGAGAGGUGAGUGGAAUUCCGAGUGUAGAGGUGAAAUUCGUAGAUAUUCGGAGGAACACCAGUGGCGAAGGCGGCUCACUGGCUCGAUACUGACGCUGAGGUGCGAAAGCGUGGGGAGCAAA